UGGGGAAUUUUGGACAAUGGGCGCAAGCCUGAUCCAGCAAUGCCGCGUGCAGGAAGAAGGCCUUCGGGUUGUAAACUGCUUUUGUACGGAACGAAAAGGCUCUGGUUAAUACCUGGGGCACAUGACGGUACCGUAAGAAUAAGCACCGGCUAACUACGUGCCAGCAGCCGCGGUAAUACGUAGGGUGCAAGCGUUAAUCGGAAUUACUGGGCGUAAAGCGUGCGCAGGCGGUUUUGUAAGACAGGCGUGAAAUCCCCGGGCUUAACCUGGGAAUUGCGUUUGUGACUGCAAGGCUGGAGUGCGGCAGAGGGGGAUGGAAUUCCGCGUGUAGCAGUGAAAUGCGUAGAUAUGCGGAGGAACACCGAUGGCGAAGGCAAUCCCCUGGGCCUGCACUGACGCUCAUGCACGAAAGCGUGGGGAGCAAACAGGAUUAGAUACCCACGUAGUCCCUGAGCGGGCUGGCAAGGCGCAU
This 472-nucleotide ribosomal RNA is filed under the name uncultured bacterium. RNAcentral describes it as "bacterial SSU rRNA". It matches the Rfam family "Bacterial small subunit ribosomal RNA", at positions 355 to 825 of the family's 1533-position model. The record is from RNAcentral.